This 453-nucleotide ribosomal RNA is filed under the name uncultured bacterium. Its description in RNAcentral is "bacterial SSU rRNA". It matches the Rfam family "Bacterial small subunit ribosomal RNA", at positions 8 to 507 of the family's 1533-position model. The record is from RNAcentral.
AGAGUUUGAUCCUGGCUCAGAGCGAACGCUGGCGGCAGGCCUAAUACAUGCAAGUCGAACGGUCUCUUCGGAGGCAGUGGCGGACGGGUGAGUAACGCGUGGGAAUAUGCCCUUUGGUACGGAACAACUGAGGGAAACUUCAGCUAAUACCGUAUGUGCCCUUCGGGGGAAAGAUUUAUCGCCAUUGGAGUAGCCCGCGUUGGAUUAGGUAGUUGGUGGGGUAAAGGCCUACCAAGCCUACGAUCCAUAGCUGGUCUGAGAGGAUGAUCAGCCACACUGGGACUGAGACACGGCCCAGACUCCUACGGGAGGCAGCAGUAGGGAAUCUUGCGCAAUGGGCGAAAGCCUGACGCAGCCAUGCCGCGUGAAUGAUGAAGGUCUUAGGAUUGUAAAAUUCUUUCACCGGGGAAGAUAAUGACGGUACCCGGAGAAGAAGCCCCGGCUAACUUCGUG